This 468-nucleotide ribosomal RNA is filed under the name uncultured bacterium. RNAcentral describes it as "partial 16S ribosomal RNA". It matches the Rfam family "Bacterial small subunit ribosomal RNA", at positions 28 to 507 of the family's 1533-position model. The record is from RNAcentral.
GACGAACGCUGGCGGCGUGCUUAACACAUGCAAGUCGAACGGAAAGGCCCUGCUUUUGUGGGGUGCUCGAGUGGCGAACGGGUGAGUAACACGUGAGUAACCUGCCCUUGACUUUGGGAUAACUUCAGGAAACUGGGGCUAAUACCGGAUAGGAGCUCCUGCUGCAUGGUGGGGGUUGGAAAGUUUCGGCGGUUGGGGAUGGACUCGCGGCUUAUCAGCUUGUUGGUGGGGUAGUGGCUUACCAAGGCUUUGACGGGUAGCCGGCCUGAGAGGGUGACCGGCCACAUUGGGCCUGAGAUACGGCCCAGACUCCUACGGGAGGCAGCAGUCGGGAAUAUUGCACAAUGGGCGGAAGCCUGAUGCAGCAACGCCGCGUGCGGGAUGACGGCCUUCGGGUUGUAAACCGCUUUCGCCUGUGACGAAGCGUGAGUGACGGUAAUGGGUAAAGAAGCACCGGCUAACUACGUG